AGUAAAAGUCGUAACAAGGUUUCCCUAGGUGAACCUGCGGAAGGAUCAUUAAAGAGUAAGGGUGCUCAGCGCCCGACCUCCAACCCUUUGUUGUUAAAACUACCUUGUUGCUUUGGCGGGACCGCUCGGUCUCGAGCCGCUGGGGAUUCGUCCCAGGCGAGCGCCCGCCAGAGUUAAACCAAACUCUUGUUAUUAAACCGGUCGUCUGAGUUAAAAUUUUGAAUAAAUCAAAACUUUCAACAACGGAUCUCUUGGUUCUCGCAUCGAUGAAGAACGCAGCGAAAUGCGAUAAGUAAUGUGAAUUGCAGAAUUCAGUGAAUCAUCGAAUCUUUGAACGCACAUUGCGCCCCUUGGUAUUCCGAGGGGCAUGCCUGUUCGAGCGUCAUUACACCACUCAAGCUAUGCUUGGUAUUGGGUGCCGUCCUUAGUUGGGCGCGCCUUAAAGACCUCGGCGAGGCCUCACCGGCUUUAGGCGUAGUAGAAUUUAUUCGAACGUCUGUCAAAGGAGAGGACUUCUGCCGACUGAAACCUUUAUUUUUCUAGGUUGACCUCGGAUCAGGUAGGGAUACCCGCUGAACUUAAGCAUAUCA
This 590-nucleotide ribosomal RNA is filed under the name aff. Aureobasidium sp. RNAcentral describes it as "eukaryotic LSU rRNA". The stretch from base 232 to 385 matches the Rfam family "5.8S ribosomal RNA". The record is from RNAcentral. Lineage: Eukaryota; Fungi; Ascomycota; Dothideomycetes; Dothideales; Saccotheciaceae.